This 22-nucleotide microRNA is filed under the name Pristionchus pacificus. Its description in RNAcentral is "ppc-miR-2238d". Lineage: Eukaryota; Metazoa; Nematoda; Chromadorea; Rhabditida; Neodiplogasteridae. The record is from miRBase by way of RNAcentral.
AAUGACAAGUGCAGAUGGCGAG